Long non-coding RNA from Pongo pygmaeus (Bornean orangutan), 3170 nucleotides. RefSeq lists it as uncharacterized. The transcript has 3 exons. The record is from RefSeq and is a predicted model, not a curated record. NCBI's taxonomy places the organism in Eukaryota, Metazoa, Chordata, Mammalia, Primates, Hominidae.
GCCCUAUCCAAUCGGGGUGCUGGGGCGGGGCCCUGACAACUGUUUAUCCGCCGGAAUGAGGGCCCCGCAUUGCCAGUCUUCUCAUUGCCUGGCUGCUGGAGCCAAGCAGAGGUCGGGAUUCCUUCUUUUCUGCUCUGAGAGGGACCAGGUGCCUCCUCCGUAGCUUUUGUCUUUCUGUUGCCUGCGCGUGUCCUGGACUGCUCACGGGACUUCUGCAGGAGACGCCGGAAUAUCUGGAAGCUGAAAAAUGGAAAUAAAUGGAAAGACCAGAAUAUUGAAGAUCACUACAGAACUCUAAGUGCCCCUGGGUUAGGGUCUCCACGACCGGGAUGGUCUUGGCAAGUGGUGUACAUAUGUGGGGCUCGAAUCUGGGUCAAAGUGUCACCGGAGUAACAGUUGGAGAACGUGGAACUAAGCUGGAGGACACCCGAGUACUCCAAAGCAAUGCCCGUGGUGAGUAAGAAGGGGAGCUCGGAAGCAUCAGGGUAACAAUGGGACAAGUGUGGGCUCUGGUUCCUUCCAUCUUGUAACCUUUUCACACUGAUGAUGAGGAGGAAGGAGAGUAUAACGAAGUAACAGAAGAGAUGACAGAGCAGGUUUGUUUGCCAACUAAAGCUAAAGCGGCAAAGGAGGAAGAGUCCAUCCCUACCCUUCUGCACCCCCUCCUUAUUUUGAAGAAAAAGAGUGACCUGACCUGCCAGAUCUUUCUUUUCUGGAGGACACUGGGCGAAAAGUAGUUUCCCCAAUGACUGUUCGAGCAGCACCUUGAGCAACGGCUCUCAGUUCUAUUCAGGCAGGAAUUCACCAAGCUAGACGAGAGGGUGAUAUAGAGGCUUGGCAGUUCCCUGUUAGGAUACACCCCCCAGAUCAACAGGAAAAUAUUAUAGCUACAUUUGAGCCUUUUCCUUUUAAAUUUGGGAAACAGCAUGAGGGGCCCGUCCCAGGCCCCUUUCCAAACCAAGGCAUUUCCGGCUGAGGCCAUUCCCUCACCCCUGUACAAUAUCUAUCCCCCGCCACAGCCAGUAGUGCCACAGUAGAUGUAUGCUGCACAAAAGCUAUGAGUCUUCUGCCUGGGGAACCCCUGCAAAAAUUUCCAACAGGGGUCUGUGGACACUUGCUAGUGGGGACAAUCGGAUUACUUCUAGGUAGAUCUAGUUUAAAUUUAAAAGGAGUGCAAGUACAUACAGGAGUCACUGAUUCAGAUUACAAUGGGAAAUUCAAAUUGUUAUAGCUACUUCUGUUCCCUGGAAAUCACAACUCCUGAUUGUGCCAUAUGUGGAAAUGGGGAAAAGUGAAAUUAAACGAACAGGAGGAUUUGGAAGCACAAAUAAACAAGGCAAAGCAGCUUACUGGGUGAAUCAAAGUACUGAUAAAUGUGCUACCUGUGAAAUAACUAUUCAGGGAAAGAAAUUUAAAGGAUUGGUAGAUACAGGAGCAGACAUUUCAAUCAUUUCUCUACACCACUGGCUGUCCGCAUGGCCAAUUCAACCCACUCAAUUUAACAGAGUUGGAGUUGGUAAAGCCCUGAAGUAUAUCAAAGUAGCUAUAUUUUACAUUGUGAAGGGCCCAAUGGACAACCUGGGACUAUUCGAUCAAUUGUAACUUCUGUACCUAUAAAUUAAUGGGGGAGAGAUUUAUUACAGCAAUGGGGAGCACAAGUUCUAAUUCCAGAGCAAUUAUAUAGCCCUGAAAGUCAACAUAUGAUGCAUGAAAUGGGGUAUGUCCCUGGUAUUGGACUAGGAAAAAAUUUGCAGGGUUUGAAGGAACUGCUCCAAGCAGAAAGACAAAGUUCCCACCAAGGUUUAGGAUAUCAUUUUUGAUGGUGGCCAUUGUUAAGCCUCCAGAAACUAUACCUUUAAAAUGGUUAACAGAUAAGCCAAUUUGGAUAGAACAAUGGCAGCUAAGUAAAGAAAAACUGGAGGCUUUAGAGGACUUAGUUACUGAACAAUUAGAAAAAGGACACAUAGCUCCAACAUUUCCCCCUUGGAAUUCUCCAGUUCUCAUAAUUAAGAAAAAAUCAGGUAAACAGAGAAUGUUAACUGACUUAAGAGCCAUUAAUUCAGUUAUAUAACCUAUGGGGACGUUACAGCCAUAUGCAACUGAAUCUAGAAUUAUUGACUUUAAAUUUUUUGAGCCUGCCUAAAGGCCAGAUGCUAUCAGCAGCUGAACAAUAUCUACAGAAACCAGCUGCAAAGACAGAAGCAGAACAACUGGUUUGGUGGAGAGAGCUGAUAACGAAAAGUUGGGAAAUAGGUGAAAUAAUAACUUGGGGUAGAGGUUAUGCUUGUGUUUCUCCAGGACCAAAUCAACAGCCAAUCUGGGUGCCAUUGAGAUAUCUAAAGCGUUACUAUGAGCCGGAUACCCAGGAAGAGGUUUUGGGAGGAUCCCAAAGACUCCCUGGUUGCAGCCAUGUCAAGACUGAUGCUGAGGAGGACCCCAACUGUCACGAGCAACACCUGUUGAACACAGCCACCUACCUGGGGACAGAUCAAGAAGCUGUCACAGAUGGUGGAGAAAAACCUGAGAAAAGCGGGACAACCAGUCACAAUGAGUAAUUUAAUGAUAGCUAUGAUAGCAGUGAUCACCAUUGUCAUGAGUAUUCCUUCAACAAGGGCUGACACAGAGAACAAUUACACUUAUUGGGCAUAUUUAUCAAUCUUGGCUGGCAACAAUGCCUGGAUGUGAUCACUCUAUGACACAGUUACACGUGCUUUCUGGUCUCAGUAUUUAUCAUAAUAAUCUGCUCCUAUAAUUGAGGCAUACUGCCCUCAAAAACCUACUUAUAAACAGGAUUAGACCUGGUCAGAAAAAAUGAACGUACUUCUUUGGGAAGAUUGCAUUGCAGAACAGGCAAGGUGCUAUGCAAUGAUUCCUAUGGAGUCGUUAUUGAUUGGUCCCCUAAGGGGAUGUUUAGCUUGAAUUGCACCUCUCAGUCUGCCUGCCACAGCCACACUAUGUUCAGCUGGUCUGAACAAAAUGGUCAGAUGGUAGAAAUGAUAAGUUAUCUGGAAACAUGGUGGUAUAGUGGCACCUCAACCUCAAAUGAUAUGGCCCACCGUAGGAGCUAAACAUAAGGAUUUGUGGAAACUAUUAAUGGCUCUUAAUAAGAUCAAAAUUUGGGAAAGGAUAAAAAAGCAUCUAGAAGGACACUCUAGAAACUUGGAUAUUGC